UCAAAGGGUAUGCACAAUUUCAUAGCCCUUUAAGUACAAAUGGAAUCUCAAUAUUCUCCUGCUGAAGAAACUUGUCCUUCUUGACUGACUCCCCAAUCUCAAGGUCAGUGCACCUCCAGGUGCCAGGAGUCACAGUCACAUAUUUAAAGCAAGAAAAGACCUCAGAAUCAACUGUUCUUGUCCUCUUAUUUUACAGAUAAGGAGGCUGAAGUCCAGCAAAGCAACUUACCCAGGAUAAGAGCUGAUAAAUGGUGCAGAAACUAUAAUCCAGAGAAGAUGGCAGCCGGUCCAGGGUCACCCAAUGGGGAUAUGCCAGAAGAAGCACUUGAAUCCACUGUUUCUGGAUUGGAGGCUGGCUUUCCAGACACCUCCUGAUGCUGCCUCUACUACAAUCUCGCACAUGAAUAGAGAGCUUAAGCACACUG
Non-coding RNA from Phascolarctos cinereus (koala), 425 nucleotides. NCBI's taxonomy places the organism in Eukaryota, Metazoa, Chordata, Mammalia, Diprotodontia, Phascolarctidae. The record is from RefSeq and is a predicted model, not a curated record.